Molecule: ribosomal RNA, 844 nt
Filed under: Wolbachia sp. Pmo
Lineage: Bacteria; Pseudomonadati; Pseudomonadota; Alphaproteobacteria; Rickettsiales; Anaplasmataceae
Description: bacterial SSU rRNA
Rfam family: Bacterial small subunit ribosomal RNA
Source: RNAcentral
GUAUAACUUAGUGGCAGACGGGUGAGUAAUGUAUAGGAAUCUACCUAGUAGUACGGAAUAAUUGUUGGAAACGGCAACUAAUACCGUAUACGCCCUACGGGGGAAAAAUUUAUUGCUAUUAGAUGAGCCUAUAUUAGAUUAGCUAGUUGGUGGAGUAAUAGCCUACCAAGGCAAUGAUCUAUAGCUGAUCUGAGAGGAUGAUCAGCCACACUGGAACUGAGAUACGGUCCAGACUCCUACGGGAGGCAGCAGUGGGGAAUAUUGGACAAUGGGCGAAAGCCUGAUCCAGCCAUGCCGCAUGAGUGAAGAAGGCCUUUGGGUUGUAAAGCUCUUUUAGUGAGGAAGAUAAUGACGGUACUCACAGAAGAAGUCCUGGCUAACUCCGUGCCAGCAGCCGCGGUAAUACGGAGAGGGCUAGCGUUAUUCGGAAUUAUUGGGCGUAAAGGGCGCGUAGGCUGAUUAGUAAGUUAAAAGUGAAAUCCCAAGGCUCAACCUUGGAAUUGCUUUUAAAACUGCUAAUCUAGAGAUUGAAAGAGGAUAGAGGAUUUCCUAGUGUAGAGGUGAAAUUCGUAAAUAUUAGGAGGAACACCAGUGGCGAAGGCGUCUAUCUGGUUCAAAUCUGACGCUGAGGCGCGAAGGCCUGGGGAGCAAACAGGAUUAGAUACCCUGGUAGUCCCCGCUGUAAACGAUGAAUGUUAAAUAUGGGAAGUUUACUUUCUGUAUUACCGCUAACGCGUUAAACAUUCCGCCUGGGGACUACGGUCGCAAGAUUAAAACUCAAAGGAAUUGACGGGGACCCGCACAAGCGGUGGAGCAUGUGGUUUAAUUCGAUGCAACGCGAAAA